AUCGGCAGCUAGCUCUCUGCAGCUCUCACAUGGUCCCCCACUGAAGCUAAGCAGGGCUGUGCCCGGUCAGUACCUUGAUGGGAGACCACAUGGGAAAGCUAGGGUGCUGCUGGAA
RNAcentral lists this ribosomal RNA (115 nucleotides) under Danio rerio (zebrafish). The record is from RNAcentral. Lineage: Eukaryota; Metazoa; Chordata; Actinopteri; Cypriniformes; Danionidae.